AGAGUUUGAUCAUGGCUCAGGACGAACGCUGGCGGCGUGCCUAAUACAUGCAAGUCGAGCGAGCUUGCCUAGAUGAUUUUAGUGCUUGCACUAAAUGAAACUAGAUACAAGCGAGCGGCGGACGGGUGAGUAACACGUGGGUAACCUGCCCAAGAGACUGGGAUAACACCUGGAAACAGAUGCUAAUACCGGAUAACAACACUAGACGCAUGUCUAGAGUUUGAAAGAUGGUUCUGCUAUCACUCUUGGAUGGACCUGCGGUGCAUUAGCUAGUUGGUAAGGUAACGGCUUACCAAGGCAAUGAUGCAUAGCCGAGUUGAGAGACUGAUCGGCCACAUUGGGACUGAGACACGGCCCAAACUCCUACGGGAGGCAGCAGUAGGGAAUCUUCCACAAUGGACGAAAGUCUGAUGGAGCAACGCCGCGUGAGUGAAGAAGGGUUUCGGCUCGUAAAGCUCUGUUGGUAGUGAAGAAAGAUAGAGGUAGUAACUGGCCUUUAUUUGACGGUAAUUACUUAGAAAGUCACGGCUAACUACGUGCCAGCAGCCGCGGUAAUACGUAGGUGGCAAGCGUUGUCCGGAUUUAUUGGGCGUAAAGCGAGUGCAGGCGGUUCAAUAAGUCUGAUGUGAAAGCCUUCGGCUCAACCGGAGAAUUGCAUCAGAAACUGUUGAACUUGAGUGCAGAAGAGGAGAGUGGAACUCCAUGUGUAGCGGUGGAAUGCGUAGAUAUAUGGAAGAACACCAGUGGCGAAGGCGGCUCUCUGGUCUGCAACUGACGCUGAGGCUCGAAAGCAUGGGUAGCGAACAGGGUUAGAUACCCUGGUAGUCCAUGCCGUAAACGAUGAGUGCUAAGUGUUGGGAGGUUUCCGCCUCUCAGUGCUGCAGCU
Molecule: ribosomal RNA, 886 nt
Filed under: uncultured bacterium
Lineage: Bacteria
Description: bacterial SSU rRNA
Rfam family: Bacterial small subunit ribosomal RNA
Source: RNAcentral